GCGGGCGUAGCAUAGUGGCAAUGCACCGGCCUUCCAAGCCGGCUAGGUGGGUUCGAUCCCCAUCGCCCGCU
RNAcentral lists this transfer RNA (71 nucleotides) under Planctomycetes bacterium B3_Pla. RNAcentral describes it as "tRNA-Gly". It matches the Rfam family "tRNA". Rfam says of the family: Transfer RNA (tRNA) molecules are approximately 80 nucleotides in length. Their secondary structure includes four short double-helical elements and three loops (D, anti-codon, and T loops). Lineage: Bacteria; Pseudomonadati; Planctomycetota. RNAcentral also lists the same sequence under 4 other names. The record is from RNAcentral.